UUUCUGAAAAAUAAUGAUCAUUUAUUUAUCAUUUGAUUUUUAAAAUGUCCCUUUCCCCCACAGAUGAGGACAUUAUUGAGACUGAUUCAGAUACUGACUGCCCUGCUGAAGCCAGCUUCUACUUGCCUGCACUUCCAUCGGCAAGGAGUCUUAAAAGCAAAGGGAUAUUGAAUAACAAGUCAGAUCAAAGUAAACUCAGCAACUGUUGGGAUUUGGGAAAAAGAGUAUCAGAUGAUCAGCCCAUCUUGGAUUCCUCAAAGAAUCAAAUCCAAACUCAGGUCCUGCCUGAGAUGUUGCAGCCUUGGGGCACAUCAUCCAUUAUUGAUGAUCCCUGUCGAACUUUGGACUUGUCAAGUGUGGGCGCUCAGCCUUUUGUUAGGCUUGAGAAACCUUUGCUUUUACAACCAGGACAGAUGUCAUUGGAGCCAAUAGGUCUUUCCACUCGAGGCUUUGGACCAGGAGUUUCUUCUUUUCCCAGAGAAGUGUCACCUUUUAGAAGGAUGCUGUCAUAUGACUGCCGCGACAUGGACUCGCCGGGUGGGAUUUCUGCAGUUUUCUCUUCCUGUUCUGCCAGUUCAUCUCUGAUCAGAAACCAGCGUCACAGUAACUCCUGGCCUUGCUUGCGGUUCAGCCCGUAUCAAACCCCGUUAUCUUUCAGCUCUUGCCAUAACCCACAUACCGCCAGGCAGCCAGAGUGGACUCAAUCAAAACCUGAACUGUGCAAAUCUAACAGAGGAGACUCAAGCCAAGUGUUUGACCUUUAUAAUUACAAAACGAAUGCCAAACAGAGACCUGUUUCUCAUUUAAGAGGUCCUUCGAUGAACUGCAGCGCUACGGUCAGAUGGGUUGAUACCCAAUUCCACCCAUCUUAAAUUUCUUCAUUUUAUUGCUGUUUUAGCUCAGAUUUGUUUGCAUAAUUUUGAUCUCCUUGCAGUUAGUUAAUAAAUUAGCCAUCACCUACUUUGUCUACAAGGCUUUAUGUGUACUGAUAAUCCACAAAUCUCAAAGGAUGUGAAAACAUUUUUUUUGUCUUUUAAGUCAAAAUAAAGAUGUUUUUGAAGUUUUAGUCACAAAAUGUUUAUUGACUGCUCAUCCUCAUCAUACCCCUGCCAGGUAAGAUCAAUAAGAUUAUUAAUUAGACAGCCAUUUCCAUCCUAAGAAUUUAAAAGGAUUUGGGGGGUUGCAUUCCGUUGUCCCGUACGGAUCAGAGUAUGUCUGGAUUUUAGGGCUAAUCCUUUAAGUUAAUUUCACUAAAUGAAUCCGUUUCAUUUGUGGACUCCCAUAUGCUUUUUUGGCAAUGCCAGUGAACCUUUACGGCUGUGCUCCCUGGCCUCUUCAUCACUACGUCACUGUGAAGGCAUUAACCGUCAAAGGCCUUUUAAUGCAAUGGCAUGCCCUUGACCUAACUGCUUUGUUUUGGUUUUCUUGGUAACUAGUUUUGGCAGUAGACGUAAGUUGUUUGUCACAGUAAUCAAACACUGGACAAAUAUUAUUAAAAGUAAUUCAAAAUGACUUUUCUAUGCAAUUUCCUGCU
RNAcentral lists this long non-coding RNA (1534 nucleotides) under Oryzias sinensis (Chinese medaka). RNAcentral's name for it is "lncRNA (ENSOSIG00000015688.1)". The record is from RNAcentral. Lineage: Eukaryota; Metazoa; Chordata; Actinopteri; Beloniformes; Adrianichthyidae.